UACGAAGGGGGCUAGCGUUGCUCGGAAUCACUGGGCGUAAAGGGCGCGUAGGCGGUGACUUAAGCGUGUGGUGAAAGCUCGGGGCUCAACCCCGAGUCGGCCGUGCGAACUGGGUCACUGGAGCGGAUCAGAGGCAGGCGGAAUUCCGGGUGUAGCGGUGGAAUGCGUAGAGAUCCGGAAGAACACCGGUGGCGAAGGCGGAUCUCUGGGCCAUAACUGACGCUGAGGAGCGAAAGCAUGGGGAGCGAACAGG
RNAcentral lists this ribosomal RNA (253 nucleotides) under uncultured bacterium. RNAcentral's name for it is "partial 16S ribosomal RNA". It matches the Rfam family "Bacterial small subunit ribosomal RNA", at positions 524 to 776 of the family's 1533-position model. The record is from RNAcentral.